This 478-nucleotide long non-coding RNA is filed under the name Oryza brachyantha (malo sina). RNAcentral describes it as "long non-coding RNA (OBRA_LNC002528)". The record is from RNAcentral. Lineage: Eukaryota; Viridiplantae; Streptophyta; Magnoliopsida; Poales; Poaceae.
GGGGGUGUGGACGUCGGCGCCACCGACGAGCUCCGGCGGCUACUCCGGCUUUAGCCAUGCAUCUCAAUAUGCCAUCGAGGUGUGUUCUUUGUUCUGCAGUUGGUGCAGCGUGUAACGUGCCCGAAAUAACCAUGAGCACGAUGUUUGUGUUGUGUCACCGUCUUCCUGAAAACCAGAAGAUUUAUUGUUCAUCUUUUGUUGAUUAGCUCUGAAUGCAAACCUGUUCAGUAUUCAUAGGUGAAAAGGUUGCAAGAAGGACAAUUUGGGUUCUGGGUUUGGCAGAUCUCGGGUGUGUCCGGUUUAGUGCCCAAACAUACCCCAAAAAAAUGGUAAUGACAAAACUCUUUUGGGGUCAUUUGGUUGGUUGCCAUUGGCAUGUCCAUCUACAUAAGCGAAAGUUCUUAUCUAAAAUGCAACCAUAACAUGCUAAACUAUCUAAUACAUUUUAGCCGUCGGAUUCACUAUUUAGCGGUUCGAG